This 253-nucleotide unclassified non-coding RNA is filed under the name uncultured Parcubacteria group bacterium. RNAcentral describes it as "contains 16S-23S intergenic spacer region". It matches the Rfam family "Bacterial small subunit ribosomal RNA", at positions 524 to 776 of the family's 1533-position model. The record is from RNAcentral.
UACGCGAACCUCAAGCGUUGUCCGGAUUUAUUGGGCGUAAAGGGUGUGUAGGCGGCUCUGUUAGUCUUUUGUCAAAGACCUCAGCUUAACUGAGGAACGGCAAGGGAAACGGCAGGGCUCGAGGAUGCGAGAGGUGUACGGAACUCACGGUGUAGAGGUGAAAUUCGUUGAUAUCGUGGGGAACACCAAAGGCGAAGGCAGUACACUGGCGCAUUCCUGACGCUGAGGCACGAAAGCCAGGGUAGCGAAUGGG